RNAcentral lists this ribosomal RNA (426 nucleotides) under uncultured bacterium. RNAcentral describes it as "bacterial SSU rRNA". It matches the Rfam family "Bacterial small subunit ribosomal RNA", at positions 354 to 796 of the family's 1533-position model. The record is from RNAcentral.
GUGAGGAAUUUUCCGCAAUGGGCGAAAGCCUGACGGAGCAAUGCCGCGUGAAGGAUGAAGGCCUAUGGGUUGUAAACUUCUUUUCUCAGAAAAGAAUUAUGACGGUAUCUGAGGAAUAAGCAUCGGCUAACUCUGUGCCAGCAGCCGCGGUAAGACAGAGGAUGCAAGCGUUAUCCGAAAUGAUUGGGCGUAAAGCGUCUGUAGGUUGUUUAAAAAGUAUUCUGUCAAAGAUUAGGGCUUAACCCUAGAUAGGCAGAAUAAACUUUUAAGCUAGAGUUUGGUAGAGGCAGAGGGAAUUCCCGGUGGAGCGGUGAAAUGCGUAGAUAUCGGGAGGAACACCAAAGGCGAAGGCACUCUGCUGGGCCAAUACUAACACUGAGAGACGAAAGCGAGGGGAGCAAAUGGGAUUAGAAACCCGGGUAGUCC